UCUUCAUCAAAGAUGAUGGGUACAGUGCU
Molecule: non-coding RNA, 29 nt
Filed under: Mus musculus (house mouse)
Lineage: Eukaryota; Metazoa; Chordata; Mammalia; Rodentia; Muridae
Source: RNAcentral